Molecule: non-coding RNA, 175 nt
Filed under: uncultured Lawsonibacter sp.
Lineage: Bacteria; Bacillati; Bacillota; Clostridia; Eubacteriales; Oscillospiraceae
Description: Lysine riboswitch
Rfam family: Lysine riboswitch aptamer
About the family: Riboswitches are metabolite binding domains within certain messenger RNAs that serve as precision sensors for their corresponding targets.
Source: RNAcentral
AGAUAGAGGUAGCGGCCGACAUCAGUAAGCGUGGCCAGGGAGCCGGUUCCCGUCCAUCCACGCCCAAAGGGAAGGCCGCCGAAGGGCCCCCCUGCCCGGAGGGGGCGGGCCCUGGUCGCCGGGUCAACAGCCUUUCGACUGUCAUCAGGGUGGUACCCUGAUGGAGCGCUGUCUG